This 492-nucleotide ribosomal RNA is filed under the name uncultured bacterium. Its description in RNAcentral is "partial 16S ribosomal RNA". It matches the Rfam family "Bacterial small subunit ribosomal RNA", at positions 29 to 507 of the family's 1533-position model. The record is from RNAcentral.
AGUGAACGCUGGCGGUAGGCCUAACACAUGCAAGUCGAACGGCAGCACAGUAAGAGCUUGCUCUUACGGGUGGCGAGUGGCGGACGGGUGAGGAAUACAUCGGAAUCUACUUUUUCGUGGGGGAUAACGUAGGGAAACUUACGCUCAUACCGCAUCCGACCUACGGGUGAAAGCAGGGGAUCUUCGGACCUUGCGCGAUUGAAUGAGCCGAUGUCGGAUUAGCUAGUUGGCGGGGUAAAGGCCCACGCAGGCGACGAUCCGUAGCUGGUCUGAGAGGAUGGUCGGCGGCACUGGAACUGGAACACGGUCCAGAGGCCUACGGGAGGCAGCAGUGGGGAAUAUUGGACAAUGGGCGCAAGCCUGAUCCAGCCAUACCGCGUGGGUGAAGAAGGCCUUCGGGUUGUAAAGCCCUUUUGUUGGGAAAGAAAAGCAGCAGGUUAAUACCCCGCUGUUCUGACGGUACCCAAAGAAUAAGCACCGGCUAACUUCGUG